GUCCAUGGCCAUACCUCCUUGAAUGCACUGAAACUUGUCUGAUCUCAGAAGCUAAGCAGGGUCGGGCCUGGUUAGUAAUUAGGCAUGACAAAGUUAGCACCGUGUUGUUGACA
Molecule: ribosomal RNA, 113 nt
Filed under: Cebus imitator (Panamanian white-faced capuchin)
Lineage: Eukaryota; Metazoa; Chordata; Mammalia; Primates; Cebidae
Source: RNAcentral